GAUGAACGCUGGCGGCGUGCCUAAUACAUGCAAGUCGAGCGAACGGACGAGAAGCUUGCUUCUCUGAUGUUAGCGGCGGACGGGUGAGUAACACGUGGAUAACCGACCUAUAAGACUGGGAUAACUUCGGGAAACCGGAGCUAAUACCGGAUAAUAUUUUGAACCGCAUGGUUCAACAGUGAAAGACGGUCUUGCUGUCACUUAUAGAUGUAUCCGCGCUGCAUUAGCUAGUUGGUAAGGUAACGGCUUACCAAGGCGACGAUGCAUAGCCGACCUGAGAGGGUGAUCAGCCACACUGGAACUGAGACACGGUCCAGACUCCUACGGGAGGCAGCAGUAGGGAAUAUUGCGCAAUGGGCGAAAGCCUGACGGAGCCACGCCGCGUGUGUGAUGAAGGUCUUCGGAUCGUAAAACUCUGUUAGUAGGGAGGAACAGAUGUGUAAGUAACUGUGCACGUCUUGACGGUACCUAAACAGAAAGCCACGGCUAACUACGUG
RNAcentral lists this ribosomal RNA (497 nucleotides) under uncultured bacterium. RNAcentral's name for it is "partial 16S ribosomal RNA". It matches the Rfam family "Bacterial small subunit ribosomal RNA", at positions 28 to 507 of the family's 1533-position model. The record is from RNAcentral.